CAGCGCUGCUUUAAAUGCAAGUCGAACGGUAACAGGUCUUCGGAUGCUGACGAGUGGCGAACGGGUGAGUAAUACAUCGGAACGUGCCUAGUAGUUGGGGAUAACUACUCGAAAGAGUAGCUAAUACCGCAUGAGAUCUACGGAUGAAAGCAGGGGACCUUCGGGCCUUGUGCUACUAGAGCGGCUGAUGGCAGAUUAGGUAGUUGGUGGGGUAAAGGCUUACCAAGCCUGCGAUCUGUAGCUGGUCUGAGAGGACGACCAGCCACACUGGGACUGAGACACGGCCCAGACUCCUACGGGAGGCAGCAGUGGGGAAUUUUGGACAAUGGGCGAAAGCCUGAUCCAGCAAUGCCGCGUGCAGGAUGAAGGCCCUCGGGUUGUAAACUGCUUUUGUACGGAACGAAAAGCCUGGGGCUAAUAUCCCCGGGUCAUGACGGUACCGUAAGAAUAAGCACCGGCUAACUACGUGCCAGCAGCCGCGGUAAUACGUAGGGUGCAAGCGUUAAUCGGAAUUACUGGGCGUAAAGCGUGCGCAGGCGGUUUUGUAAGACAGUGGUGAAAUCCCCGGGCUCAACCUGGGAACUGCCAUUGUGACUGCAAGGCUAGAGUGCGGCAGAGGGGGAUGGAAUUCCGCGUGUAGCAGUGAAAUGCGUAGAUAUGCGGAGGAACACCGAUGGCGAAGGCAAUCCCCUGGGCCUGCACUGACGCUCAUGCACGAAAGCGUGUGGAGCAAACAGGAUUAGAUACCCUGGUAGUCCACGCCCUAAACGAUGUCAACUGGGUUUGUUGGGUCUUAACUGACUCAGUAACGAAGCUAACG
This 820-nucleotide ribosomal RNA is filed under the name uncultured Comamonas sp. Its description in RNAcentral is "bacterial SSU rRNA". It matches the Rfam family "Bacterial small subunit ribosomal RNA", at positions 40 to 857 of the family's 1533-position model. The record is from RNAcentral. Lineage: Bacteria; Pseudomonadati; Pseudomonadota; Betaproteobacteria; Burkholderiales; Comamonadaceae.